This 72-nucleotide transfer RNA is filed under the name Ictidomys tridecemlineatus (thirteen-lined ground squirrel). Its description in RNAcentral is "Spermophilus tridecemlineatus (thirteen-lined ground squirrel) tRNA". It matches the Rfam family "tRNA". From Rfam's summary of the family: Transfer RNA (tRNA) molecules are approximately 80 nucleotides in length. Their secondary structure includes four short double-helical elements and three loops (D, anti-codon, and T loops). Further hydrogen bonds mediate the characteristic L-shaped molecular structure. tRNAs have two regions of fundamental functional importance: the anti-codon, which is responsible for specific mRNA codon recognition, and the 3' end, to which the tRNAs corresponding amino acid is attached (by aminoacyl-tRNA synthetases). tRNAs cope with the degeneracy of the genetic code in two manners: having more than one tRNA (with a specific anti-codon) for a particular amino acid; and 'wobble' base-pairing, i.e. permitting non-standard base-pairing at the 3rd anti-codon position. The record is from Rfam by way of RNAcentral. Lineage: Eukaryota; Metazoa; Chordata; Mammalia; Rodentia; Sciuridae.
GGGGAUGUAGCUCGGUGGUAGAGUACUUGCCUGGCAUGUGAGAGGUCUUGGGUUCAAUCCUCAAUACUUCCA